AUUUGUCAUGUAUAAAUAUAAUAGUGUAUAAACAAUUUAAGUAUUUAUACACGAAAGAGGUAACCUUUGACAGGACACCUUACGUGCUAGAAAGGGUAG
Octopus sinensis (East Asian common octopus) is the source of this 99-nucleotide long non-coding RNA. RefSeq lists it as uncharacterized. The transcript is spliced from 3 exons. The record is from RefSeq and is a predicted model, not a curated record. NCBI's taxonomy places the organism in Eukaryota, Metazoa, Mollusca, Cephalopoda, Octopoda, Octopodidae.